RNAcentral lists this ribosomal RNA (461 nucleotides) under uncultured bacterium. RNAcentral's name for it is "partial 16S ribosomal RNA". It matches the Rfam family "Bacterial small subunit ribosomal RNA", at positions 338 to 795 of the family's 1533-position model. The record is from RNAcentral.
CCUACGGGUGGCUGCAGUGAGGAAUAUUGGUCAAUGGGCUUACGCCUGAACCAGCCAAGUCGCGUGAGGGAAGACUGCCCUAUGGGUUGUAAACCUCUUUUGUCAGGGAGCAACGCCGGCUACGUGUAGCCGGACUGAGAGUACCUGAAGAAAAAGCAUCGGCUAACUCCGUGCCAGCAGCCGCGGUAAUACGUAGGGAGCGAGCGUUGUCCGGAUUUACUGGGUGUAAAGGGUGCGUAGGCGGCUUGGCAAGUCAGUAGUGAAAUCCAUGGGCUUAACCCAUGAACUGCUAUUGAAACUGUCGAGCUUGAGUGAAGUAGAGGUAGGCGGAAUUCCCGGUGUAGCGGUGAAAUGCGUAGAGAUCGGGAGGAACACCAGUGGCGAAGGCGGCCUACUGGGCUUUAACUGACGCUGAGGCACGAAAGCGUGGGUAGCAAACAGGAUUAGAUACCCCUGUAGUC